This is a long non-coding RNA of Balaenoptera ricei (Rice's whale), 828 nucleotides long. RefSeq lists it as uncharacterized. The record is from RefSeq and is a predicted model, not a curated record. The transcript is spliced from 3 exons. NCBI's taxonomy places the organism in Eukaryota, Metazoa, Chordata, Mammalia, Artiodactyla, Balaenopteridae.
ACAAGCACCAGGGGCACCAAACAAGUAUGAAAAGAGACAGGCUAGAAUCUUGCAGCCAUCAGAUGUAGAAAGAUGCUAUUUACACAAAUAUUAGGACCCACUCUCGACUGCAGGAGGUGGACCCCGAACACGCAGAAGCUGCAAGGUGUCCCGUGACAGAGGAAUGCAGCGGGAGCGGCAGGACCCAGAGGAAGGAAGGAGGGAGCCGCUCUUGAAAGGAGACCAAAACCACCGAUGCUCAAGCCCGGGAUGGCAGGCUCAGGAGCACAUGGCCUGUGCACUUGUGUUCAUGGCGUACUUGCUAAGGAAAGUCAGUGCUGCGCAGUGUGAAGCUGUUUACUGCACACGGACGCCAGGCCAAGGGAUGAAUGGUGGCUUGGACACCGCCCCCUGCAAGCUGGCCAAGCCGUGUGCCUGGACACGGGACCACACCCACCCAGAGAGCCAGCCGACGCGCUUUUCCAAUUUGCCAAGCCCUGCACUGGGGGAGGGGGCUGGGGGCUUUUCCUAAUUCGUGCCUGAUGUCCUGGGGUCCACCCGGAGAGGUGAAGAAGACUUCACUGUUGCUGCCAUUUGGGGUGAGGGCUGGAAGCUAAGUGACAUCUCAGAGUGGUGUUGGGGGUAGGGGCGAAUUGGGAGGGAGGUCUGCCCCCUUGAUUCCCCCAGGUCAAGGCCCCUUCCAUGGAGCACACUUCCAGGGUCAGUUAGAGGCUCAUGGAAUUCCACAUUAGAAUAGAACCCACAGAACUUCAGAAGUGAAUGUCCCCAACGUGUGUCUCCUCCAGCCCCAGCGUGUGCGUCGUGUUCAGCACAGAACUUAGAGUCAAA